RNAcentral lists this non-coding RNA (148 nucleotides) under Chlorocebus sabaeus (green monkey). Lineage: Eukaryota; Metazoa; Chordata; Mammalia; Primates; Cercopithecidae. The record is from Rfam by way of RNAcentral.
GCCGGGUGUGGUAGCGUGCACCUGUAAUCCCAGCUACUCGGGAGGCUGAGGCAGGAGAAUCGCUUGAACCCAGGAGAUGGAGGUUGCAGUGAGCUGAGAUCGUGCCACUGCAUCCCAGCCUGGGUGACAGAGUGAGACUUCAUCUCAA